RNAcentral lists this ribosomal RNA (253 nucleotides) under uncultured bacterium. Its description in RNAcentral is "partial 16S ribosomal RNA". It matches the Rfam family "Bacterial small subunit ribosomal RNA", at positions 524 to 776 of the family's 1533-position model. The record is from RNAcentral.
GACGUAGGGCGCGAGCGUUGUCCGGAUUUAUUGGGCGUAAAGAGCUCGUAGGCGGCUUGUUGCGUCGACCGUGAAAACCCGGGGCUCAACUUCGGGCUUGCGGUCGAUACGGGCGGGCUAGAGUUCGGUAGGGGAGACUGGAAUUCCUGGUGUAGCGGUGAAAUGCGCAGAUAUCAGGAGGAACACCGGUGGCGAAGGCGGGUCUCUGGGCCGAUACUGACGCCGAGGAGCGAAAGCGUGGGGAGCGAACAGG